CACUAUCGUUAACUGAAUACAUAGGUUAACGAGGCGAACCGGGGGAACUGAAACAUCUAAGUACCCCGAGGAAAAGAAAUCAACCGAGAUUCCCCCAGUAGCGGCGAGCGAACGGGGAGCAGCCCAGAGUCUGAAUCAGCUUGUGUGUUAGUGGAACGGUCUGGAAAGUCCGACGGUACAGGGUGAUAGUCCCGUACACCAAAAUGCACAGGCUGUGAACUCGAAGAGUAGGGCGGGACACGUGGUAUCCUGUCUGAAUAUGGGGGGACCAUCCUCCAAGGCUAAAUACUCCUGACUGACCGAUAGUGAACCAGUACCGUGAGGGAAAGGCGAAAAGAACCCCGGCGAGGGGAGUGAAAAAGAACCUGAAACCGUGUACGUACAAGCAGUGGGAGCACCUUUAUGGUGUGACUGCGUACCUUUUGUAUAAUGGGUCAGCGACUUAUAUUCUGUAGCAAGGUUAACCGUAUAGGGGAGCCGCAGGGAAACCGAGUCUUAACUGGGCGUUAAGUUGCAGGGUAUAGACCCGAAACCCGGUGAUCUAGCCAUGGGCAGGUUGAAGGUUGGGUAACACUAACUGGAGGACCGAACCGACUAAUGUUGAAAAAUUAGCGGAUGACUUGUGGCUGGGGGUGAAAGGCCAAUCAAACCGGGAGAUAGCUGGUUCUCCCCGAAAGCUAUUUAGGUAGCGCCUCGUGAACUCAUCUUCGGGGGUAGAGCACUGUUUCGGCUAGGGGGUCAUCCCGACUUACCAACCCGAUGCAAACUACGAAUACCGAAGAAUGUUAUCACGGGAGACACACGGCGGGUGCUAACGUCCGUCGUGAAGAGGGAAACAACCCAGACCGCCAGCUAAGGUCCCAAAGUCAUGGUUAAGUGGGAAACGAUGUGGGAAGGCACAGACAGCCAGGAUGUUGGCUUAGAAGCAGCCAUCAUUUAAAGAAAGCGUAAUAGCUCACUGGUCGAGUCGGCCUGCGCGGAAGAUGUAACGGGGCUAAACCAUGCACCGAAGCUGCGGCAGCGACACUAUGUGUUGUUGGGUAGGGGAGCGUUCUGUAAGCCUGCGAAGGUGACCUGUGAGGGUUGCUGGAGGUAUCAGAAGUGCGAAUGCUGACAUAAGUAACGAUAAAGCGGGUGAAAAGCCCGCUCGCCGGAAGACCAAGGGUUCCUGUCCAACGUUAAUCGGGGCAGGGUGAGUCGACCCCUAAGGCGAGGCCGAAAGGCGUAGUCGAUGGGAAACAGGUUAAUAUUCCUGUACUUGGUGUUACUGCGAAGGGGGGACGGAGAAGGCUAUGUUAGCCGGGCGACGGUUGUCCCGGUUUAAGCAUGUAGGCUGAUUAUCCAGGCAAAUCCGGAUAAUCAAGGCUGAGGUGUGAUGACGAGGCACUACGGUGCUGAAGUAACAAAUGCCCUGCUUCCAGGAAAAGCCUCUAAGCAUCAGGUAACAUCAAAUCGUACCCCAAACCGACACAGGUGGUCAGGUAGAGAAUACCAAGGCGCUUGAGAGAACUCGGGUGAAGGAACUAGGCAAAAUGGUGCCGUAACUUCGGGAGAAGGCACGCUGGUGUGUAGGUGAAGUCCCUGCGGAUGGAGCUGAGACCAGUCGAAGAUACCAGCUGGCUGCAACUGUUUAUUAAAAACACAGCACUGUGCAAACACGAAAGUGGACGUAUACGGUGUGACGCCUGCCCGGUGCCGGAAGGUUAAUUGAUGGGGUUAUCCGUAAGGAGAAGCUCUUGAUCGAAGCCCCGGUAAACGGCGGCCGUAACUAUAACGGUCCUAAGGUAGCGAAAUUCCUUGUCGGGUAAGUUCCGACCUGCACGAAUGGCGUAAUGAUGGCCAGGCUGUCUCCACCCGAGACUCAGUGAAAUUGAACUCGCUGUGAAGAUGCAGUGUACCCGCGGCAAGACGGAAAGACCCCGUGAACCUUUACUAUAGCUUGACACUGAACAUUGAGCCUUGAUGUGUAGGAUAGGUGGGAGGCUUUGAAGCGUGGACGCCAGUCUGCGUGGAGCCAACCUUGAAAUACCACCCUUUAAUGUUUGAUGUUCUAACGUUGGCCCCUUAUCGGGGUUGCGGACAGUGUCUGGUGGGUAGUUUGACUGGGGCGGUCUCCUCCCAAAGCGUAACGGAGGAGCACGAAGGUUAGCUAAUCCUGGUCGGACAUCAGGAGGUUAGUGCAAUGGCAUAAGCUAGCUUGACUGCGAGCGUGACGGCGCGAGCAGGUGCGAAAGCAGGUCAUAGUGAUCCGGUGGUUCUGAAUGGAAGGGCCAUCGCUCAACGGAUAAAAGGUACUCCGGGGAUAACAGGCUGAUACCGCCCAAGAGUUCAUAUCGACGGCGGUGUUUGGCACCUCGAUGUCGGCUCAUCACAUCCUGGGGCUGAAGUAGGUCCCAAGGGUAUGGCUGUUCGCCAUUUAAAGUGGUACGCGAGCUGGGUUUAGAACGUCGUGAGACAGUUCGGUCCCUAUCUGCCGUGGGCGCUGGAGAAUUGAGGGGGGCUGCUCCUAGUACGAGAGGACCGGAGUGGACGCAUCACUGGUGUUCGGGUUGUCAUGCCAAUGGCACUGCCCGGUAGCUAAAUGCGGAAGAGAUAAGUGCUGAAAGCAUCUAAGCACGAAACUUGCCCCGAGAUGAGUUCUCCCUGAGACUUUAAGUCUCCUGAAGGAACGUUGAAGACGACGACGUUGAUAGGCCGGGUGUGUAAGCGCAGCGAUGCGUUGAGCUAACCGGUACUAAUGAACCGUGAGGCUUAACCUUACAACGCCGAAG
Molecule: ribosomal RNA, 2771 nt
Filed under: Klebsiella quasipneumoniae
Lineage: Bacteria; Pseudomonadati; Pseudomonadota; Gammaproteobacteria; Enterobacterales; Enterobacteriaceae
Description: partial 23S ribosomal RNA
Rfam family: Bacterial large subunit ribosomal RNA
Source: RNAcentral